ACUUAACCUCAAUAACUUCAAACAGUAACUAUUUCGCUAUUUUUUUAAUAAUUUUUAAAGAAUAUGAAGAAUCCUGAGAUAAAUCAGUUUAAUUUAAACUCAGGUUUAUUAGCUAAACAUAAAUCGACCAUCUACAGCAAUGCUACAUUGCAUAAAAUUGAAGUAGAAAAGUCUAUGAAUUUAGAACGAAACACCGUUUUAAGGACUCUAAUGAACUUUGCGAGUUAUUGAUAUUAACAUUGAUUUUUAUUAACAAUAAAUUUAAAUUUAAAAUCAUUUAAAUUUAACUCUAGAGAUGUCGCCACCAUAGAGAAUGUUUUAUUUAGUAACUUAACCUCAAUAUCUUCAAACAAUAACUAUUUCGCUAUUUUUUUAAUAAUUUUUAAAGAAUAUGAAGAAUCCUGAGAUAAAUCAGUUUAAUUUAAACUCAGGUUUAUUAGCUAAACAUAAAUCGACCAUCUACAGCAAUGCUACAUUGCAUAAAAUUGAAGUAGAAAAGUCUAUGAAUUUAGAACGAAACACCGUUUUAAGGACUCUAAUGAACUUUGCGAGUUAUU
Molecule: non-coding RNA, 557 nt
Organism: Onthophagus taurus
Lineage: Eukaryota; Metazoa; Arthropoda; Insecta; Coleoptera; Scarabaeidae
Source: RefSeq, a predicted model, not a curated record